GUAGUCCACGCCGUAAACGAUGGGCACUAGGUGUCAUGGGUAUCGACCCCCGUGGUGCCGUAGCUAACGCAUUAAGUGCCCCGCCUGGGGAGUACGGCCGCAAGGCUAAAACUCAAAGGAAUUGACGGGGCCCGCACAAGCAGCGGAGCGUGUGGUUUAAUUCGACGCAACGCGCAGAACCUUACCAGGUCUUGACAUACAUAGGAAGUUGUUAGAGAUAGCAACGCUUUUCGGAGCCUAUGCACAGAUGCUGCAUGGCUGUCGUCAGCUCGUGCCGUGAGGUGUUGGGUUAAG
This 294-nucleotide ribosomal RNA is filed under the name uncultured bacterium. Its description in RNAcentral is "partial 16S ribosomal RNA". It matches the Rfam family "Bacterial small subunit ribosomal RNA", at positions 790 to 1084 of the family's 1533-position model. The record is from RNAcentral.